This 1737-nucleotide long non-coding RNA is filed under the name Gossypium barbadense (sea-island cotton). Its description in RNAcentral is "long non-coding RNA (GBAR_LNC017654)". Lineage: Eukaryota; Viridiplantae; Streptophyta; Magnoliopsida; Malvales; Malvaceae. The record is from RNAcentral.
UAAGAAACACAUGUGCGUGUACAUAGGCAUAAUAAUAAUGGUAUAUAAUAUUGUAGUAAAAAUAACAUAAAAAGAUACUAGCAAUAUUAAUUAAACAAGCUAAAAAAAUCUAAAAUAUAAGAUUAAAGGUUGAAUUGCAAACCAACAAAAUUUAAAUGCUGAUUUCGAAAAAUAAAAAGAAAAUAAAAACAAGAAGGGAGCAGAUUCAAAAGCGCGCGAUAGGAGGGGGACCAAUCGAGCAAUUCACCCAGACCUCCAAAACGCAGCGCAGAAAGGGACCGAAUUGAAACGAAAAUUAAAUAUGCGGCCCAAUUUUAAAACAAAUAAAAAGAAUUUAAUUGAUAUGCGUUGCAAAAGGGAGGGGCUAAAUGAGGAAAUUAACCAAAACCCAAAACGCGCGGAUCCUUCCCCGGGUCGGGUCACCGCGCGGGUCGCAGGGCUGAAACGGCGCCGUUUUUGUGCUUACCCUUCGGCCCAAAACGGUGCCGUUUUGGGUAAGCUAUAAAUGCAAUGUUUUUCUUAAAAAAAAACUUAUUUUUUCUUUCUGUUUCAAAAAAAACAAAAAAAUGUUUCCUUUUCUCUCUAGCAGGCCCAGAAUCCGGCCAAAUUCCAGCGAGUGGCAAUUGUGCCGGCCGCCGAUCGUCGACGCCGGCGCCGCCGCCGCCGCCGGCGCCGCCGUGAACGGGCGGGGAGUCGAAAAGCCUCUUUUUUUAAACCCGUUUUAGAUCCCCUUCAAAAGCCAAACAUCUUUGACCCAAAAAGACGACUCUUGGCCCCCCUUUAUCCUCUCGGAUCCGACGGCCACGAAGGAGGAGAGCCCUCCGACGGCAAACCCGAAAGGCGUUUCAGGUGAGCCCCGCUCCCUUUUGUUUCUUAUUUAUUAUAUGUAAAAAAAAAAGAAAAACAAACAGAAAGAGCAAACAAAGGGAAAAAAAUCGAAUCUAAGAAAAAACCUCCGUUUUGUAUUCUGUUUUUUCAAAUCUUUUUUCCUUCGUAUUUUCCCUUCUAUUUUCGUAUCUCUUUACACCGAAUUCCCCCCCCCCCCUUUACAUGAUUUAAAUCGGCCUUUAAAUAGCCGAAAUGGAAAAGAUAAAUCAACAAAAUCAAAAAAGAGAUUUAUUCUGUUUUGUUGGCAUGAUUUUUGCUAUCUUGUUGCUGCAGGUACUGUUGGAGGAGACUACGCGCGACGUGGAGGCGCAACUCUCGCGGAGGAGGCCUCUAGCUCCGAGUUGUGCGCCGAUUGGGACUGCUGGAGGCGGGGGCUGCUGCUAGGGUUUCUCAACCCUUCCCUUUUCCAUUAGUUUCGGGCCUGGCUUAGGAAUUGGCUAUUGGGCUCGUUUAUUAGGCUUGUAUAUUUUGUUUGGGUUUAUUCGUUAAUAGGCCAGGCCAAAAUUGGUAUUACAGGUUUCAUUAAAAGAAAUAAUUGAUUUAACAGACGAGCUAUGGAUCGACUUCUGAAAUAGUGGAUGAGGUAUUUCUACUCUACAUAAAUUUAAUGCCUAAAAAAUUCAACAAAAUUUAAAAGGAUUUCCUUAUAAACAUAUUUCUUUGCAAAAGGAGUGAAAAUUCCUCAACAAAUAUAAUAAGUAAAAUGAAGAAUCUUACUAUCCGGCGUUAAGCUAUACUUUUAAAAAAUAAAAAUGAGAAAUGCUAAACCUAAAAAAACAAAUUUCUAUAUCAUAAAUUUAUGCUAAUCUAAUAAUAUCGAACUUGAUUAUUAGUACAAUAACAUGAAGG